UUCCCAUCAGCUUUCGUCAUAUUUCAUCUUUUUCUAACAUUUCCCAUCAAUUUUCGUCAUAUUUCAUCUCUUUGACAUUUCCCAUCAAUUUCUGCCUUAUUUAUUUUUUUGUUUCAUAUUUCCCAUCAAUUUUUGUCAUAUUUCGUCUCUAUUUUCAGCAUUUCCCAUCAAUUUUGGUCAUAUCUCAUCUCUUUAUAACAUUUCCCAUCAAUUUUCGUCAUAUUUCAUCUCUUUAUGACAUUUCCCAUCAAUUUUCGUCAUAUUUCAUCUCUAUUUUCAGCAUUUCCCAUCAGCUUUCGUCAUAUUUCAUCUCUUUCAAACAUUUCCCAUCAAUUUUCGUCAUAUUUCAUCUCUGACAUUUCCCAUCAAUUUCUGCCUUAUUUAUUUUUUUGUUUCAUAUUUCCCAUCAAUUUUCAUCAUAUUUCAUCUCGAUUUUCAGCAUUUCCCAUCAAUUUUGGUCAUAUCUCAUCUCUAUAACAUUUCCCAUCAAUUUUUGUCAUAUUUCAUCUCUAUUUUCAGUAUUUCCCAUCAAUUUUGGUCAUAUUUCAUCUCAUUCUAACAUUUCCCAUCAGCUUUCGUCAUAUUUCAUCUCUUUAUAACAUUUCCCAUCAAUUUUCGUCAUAUUUCAUCUCUGACAUUUCCCAUCAAUUUCUGCCUUAUUUAUUUUUUUGUUUCAUAUUUCCCAUCAAUUUUGGUCAUAUUUCGUCUCUAUUUUCAGCAUUUCCCAUCAAAUUUCGUCAUAUUUCGUCUCCUUAUAACAUUUCCCCUCAAUUUUCGUCAUAUUUCGUCUCUUUAUAACAUUUCCCAUCAAUUUUCGUCAUAUUUCGUCUCUAUAACAUUUCCCAUCAGCUUUCGUCAUAUUUCGUCUCUAUUUUCAGCAUUUCCCAUCAAUUUUGGUCAUAUUUCAUCUCUUUAUAACAUUUCCCAUCAGCUUUCAUCAUAUUUCGUCUCUUUAUAACAUUUCCCAUCAAUUUUGGUCAUAUUUCGUCUCCUUAUAACAUUUCCCAUCAGCUUUCAUCAUAUUUCGUCUCUGUUUUCAGGAUUUCCCAUCAAUUUUCGUCAUAUUUCAUCUCUUUAUAACAUUUCCCAUCAAUUUUCGUCAUAUUUCAUCUCUGACAUUUCCCAUCAAUUUCUGCCUUAUUUAUUUUUUUGUUUCAUAUUUCCCAUCAAUUUUCAUCAUAUUUCGUCUCUAUUUUCAGCAUUUCCCAUCAAAUUUCGUCAUAUUUCGUCUCCUUAUAACAUUUCCCAUCAGCUUUCGUCAUAUUUCAUCUCUAUUUUCAGCAUUUCCCAUCAAUUUUCGUCAUAUUUCACCUCUUUUUAACAUUUCCCAUCAAUUUUCGUCAUAUUUCAUCUCUUUAUAACAUUUCCCAUCAAUUUUGGUCAUAUUUAAUCUCUUUAUAACAUUUCCCAUCAAUUUUCGUCAUAUUUCACCUCUUUUUAACAUUUCCCAUCAAUUUUCAUCAUAUUUCAUCUCUUUAUAACAUUUCCCAUCAAUUUUGGUCAUAUUUCAUCUCUUUAUAACAUUUCCCAUCAAUUUUCGUCAUAUUUCAUCUCUUUAUAACAUUUCCCAUCAAUUUUCGUCAUAUUUCAUCUCUUUAUAACAUUUCCCAUCAAUUCCUCGUAAUAUUUUAAUCAAUUUUCCCUUCACUUUCUCUUCCCUGGUCACGUGACUCACAAUGGGACUCUUACUAACAAAAGAGGAUCCAGCGUUGCUCAUAAUAGUGCCUUAUCUACACCACCUAAAGGGGAUCCAAUGCCUUAUAUAAGUUAGAACGCUAUAUUGUGCCUUAUUUAACUACGUAUAGCAUUUGAUUCCCCUCUAAAGUGGUGUUCAAUGCAUGUAUAUGGUCGUAUCUUAAGACUAGGUGCUCUAUUUCCAAAGAACUUUAUGAGAAAUGGGUUUGGAUCCUUUAUAAUCCCAAAGAAUGUGUGUUGAAUAGGAUUGGAUUGCUUAUAACCAAAAGUAGAACAGGUUUGGAUCCUUUAUAAUCCCAAAGAAUGUGUGUUGAAUAGGAUUGGAUCGCUUAUAACCAAAAGUAGAACAGGUUUGGAUCCUUUAUAAUCCCAAAGAAUGUGUGUUGAAUAGGAUUGGAUCGCUUAUAACCAAAAGUAGAACAGGUUUGGAUCCUUUAUAAUCCCAAAGAAUGUGUGUUGAAUAGGAUGGGAUCACUUACAACCCAAAGAAUUGUAUUAGAAAAGGUUUGGAUACCUUAUAAAUCCAAGAAAUUGAUAGUAAACAGGGUUGGAUAGCCUAUAACCCAAAGAACUUGUAUUAGAAAGAGUUGGAUACCUUAUGAUCCCAAAGAAUGUAUGUUAAAUAGGGUUGUAUCGCUUAUAACCCAAAGAACUUGUAUUAUAAAAGGGUUGGGUACCUUAUAAUCACUAAGAAUGUCUGUUAAAUAGGAUUGGAUCGCUUGUAACCCAAAGAACUUGUAUUAGAAAAGGGUUAGAUCGUUCAUAAUCCCCAAAAAAUGUUAAAUGGAGUUAGAUCGCAUAUAAUCCAAAUAACUUGUAUUAGAAAAGGGUUGGAUACCUUAUAAUCCCAAAGACUAUAUGUUAAAUGGAAUUAGAUCGCUUGUAACUCUAAGGACUUGUGUUAGAAAAGGAUAGGAUCGUUUAUAAUCCCAAAGAAUUUAUGGUGAAGAGGGUUAGAUCGCUUAAAACCUUAAAGAACGUAUUUAAAGAGAGGUCGAUCACUUAUAAUCCCAAAGAAUGUGCUAAAGAGGGUUGGAUAGCUUGUAAUCCUAAAGAACGUAUUUCAUAGAGGGUUCGAUCAUUUGUAACCCCAAAAGUCGUAUUUCAAAGAGGUUUCGAUCACAUUCAAUCCCAAAGUGUGUGCUAGAGAGGGUUGGAUAGCUUAUGAUGUAUGUUAAGUAGAAUUGGGUAGCUUAUAAUCCCAAAGAAUGUCUGUUAAAUAGGAUCGGAUCGCUUAUAAUCCGAAAGAGUGUAUUUUGAAGAGGAUUCGAUCACAUUUAAUCCCAAAGAAUGUCUAUUAAAUAAGGUCGGAUCGCUUAUAACCUGAAAGAACGUAUUAUAAAGAGGAUUCGAUCACAUUUAAUCCCAAAGAGUGUGCUAAAGAGGGUUAGAUAACUUAUAAUGUAUGUUAAGUAGGAUUGGGUAGCUUUUAACCUCAAAGAAUGUGUUUUAUAAGGGAUUAGAAAGCCUACAAUCCGAAAGACUAAGUUAAAAGGGUUUGUGUAGCUUAUAAUGCAUUCAAAGACUGUAAAUUAAGAUUGGAUAGUGUUAGAAAAGGAUUGGAUACCUUAUACCUCCAAAGAACAUAAUAUUAGAGGAUUCAAUGCUUUAUAAUAUCAAAAAUCGUAAUAUAUGGAGGAUCUAAUGUCAUAUAACAGAGAAAUGUGCCAAAAGAAUCCAAUGCUUUAUAAUGCCAAAAAUUGUGAAAUAUUGAGGAUUUAAUGCCAUGUAGUAUCCCAAAAAAUGUAUAGUAAAAGGAUCCAAUGCUUUAUAGUACCAAAAAUCGUAACAUAUGGAGGAUUUGAUGUCAUAUAACCCCCCAAAACAUACCAAAAGAAUCCAAUGCUUUAUAAUGCCAAAAAUUGUGAAAUAUUGAGGAUUUAAUGCCAUAUAAUACCCCAAAAAACGUAUGUUAGAAGGAUCCAAUGCUUUAUA
Molecule: long non-coding RNA, 3630 nt
Filed under: Portunus trituberculatus (swimming crab)
Lineage: Eukaryota; Metazoa; Arthropoda; Malacostraca; Decapoda; Portunidae
Description: uncharacterized LOC123502369
Source: RNAcentral